CAGGCUUAACACAUGCAAGUCGAGGGGCAGCAUGGUCUUAGCUUGCUAAGGCCGAUGGCGACCGGCGCACGGGUGAGUAACACGUAUCCAACCUGCCGUCUACUCUUGGACAGCCUUCUGAAAGGAAGAUUAAUACAAGAUGGCAUCAUGAGUCCGCAUGUUCACAUGAUUAAAGGUAUUCCGGUAGACGAUGGGGAUGCGUUCCAUUAGAUAGUAGGCGGGGUAACGGCCCACCUAGUCUUCGAUGGAUAGGGGUUCUGAGAGGAAGGUCCCCCACAUUGGAACUGAGACACGGUCCAAACUCCUACGGGAGGCAGCAGUGAGGAAUAUUGGUCAAUGGGCGAGAGCCUGAACCAGCCAAGUAGCGUGAAGGAUGACUGCCCUAUGGGUUGUAAACUUCUUUUAUAAAGGAAUAAAGUCGGGUAUGGAUACCCGUUUGCAUGUACUUUAUGAAUAAGGAUCGGCUAACUCCGUGCCAGCAGCCGCGGUAAUACGGAGGAUCCGAGCGUUAUCCGGAUUUAUUGGGUUUAAAGGGAGCGUAGAUGGAUGUUUAAGUCAGUUGUGAAAGUUUGCGGCUCAACCGUAAAAUUGCAGUUGAUACUGGAUAUCUUGAGUGCAGUUGAGGCAGGCGGAAUUCGUGGUGUAGCGGUGAAAUGCUUAGAUAUCACGAAGAACUCCGAUUGCGAAGGCAGCCUGCUAAGCUGCAACUGACAUUGAGGCUCGAAAGUGUGGGUAUCAAACAGGAUUAGAUACCCUGGUAGUCCACACGGUAAACGAUGAAUACUCGCUGUUUGCGAUAUACUGCAAGCGGCCAAGCGAAAGCGUUAAGUAUUCCACCUGGGGAGUACGCCGGCAACGGUGAAACUCAAAGGAAUUGACGGGGGCCCGCACAAGCGGAGGAACAUGUGGUUUAAUUCGAUGAUACGCGAGGAACCUUACCCGGGCUUAAAUUGCAGAUGAAUUACGGUGAAAGCCGUAAGCCGCAAGGCAUCUGUGAAGGUGCUGCAUGGUUGUCGUCAGCUCGUGCCGUGAGGUGUCGGCUUAAGUGCCAUAACGAGCGCAACCCUUGUUGUCAGUUACUAACAGGUUCCGCUGAGGACUCUGACAAGACUGCCAUCGUAAGAUGUGAGGAAGGUGGGGAUGACGUCAAAUCAGCACGGCCCUUACGUCCGGGGCUACACGCGUGUUACAAUGGGGGGUACAGAGGGCCGCUACCACGCGAGUGGAUGCCAAUCCCAAAAACCUCUCUCAGUUCGGACUGGAGUCUGCAACCCGACUCCACGAAGCUGGAUUCGCUAGUAAUCGCGCAUCAGCCACGGCGCGGUGAAUACGUUCCCGGGCCUUGUACACACCGCCCGUCAAGCCAUGGGAGCCGGGGGUACCUGAAGUGCGUAACCGCGAGGAGCGCCCUAGGGUAAAACUGGUGACUGGGGCUAAGU
RNAcentral lists this ribosomal RNA (1439 nucleotides) under uncultured organism. RNAcentral's name for it is "16S ribosomal RNA". It matches the Rfam family "Bacterial small subunit ribosomal RNA". The record is from RNAcentral.